GCCGAAGUGGCGGAACUGGCAGACGCACCGGACUCAAAAUCCGGCGGGCAGCGAUGCUCGUGAGGGUUCGAUUCCCUCCUUCGGCACCA
This 89-nucleotide transfer RNA is filed under the name Acidobacteriota bacterium. RNAcentral describes it as "Acidobacteria bacterium (wastewater metagenome) tRNA-Leu". It matches the Rfam family "tRNA". From Rfam's summary of the family: Transfer RNA (tRNA) molecules are approximately 80 nucleotides in length. Their secondary structure includes four short double-helical elements and three loops (D, anti-codon, and T loops). Further hydrogen bonds mediate the characteristic L-shaped molecular structure. tRNAs have two regions of fundamental functional importance: the anti-codon, which is responsible for specific mRNA codon recognition, and the 3' end, to which the tRNAs corresponding amino acid is attached (by aminoacyl-tRNA synthetases). tRNAs cope with the degeneracy of the genetic code in two manners: having more than one tRNA (with a specific anti-codon) for a particular amino acid; and 'wobble' base-pairing, i.e. permitting non-standard base-pairing at the 3rd anti-codon position. The record is from RNAcentral. Lineage: Bacteria; Pseudomonadati; Acidobacteriota.